Molecule: ribosomal RNA, 465 nt
Filed under: uncultured bacterium
Lineage: Bacteria
Description: partial 16S ribosomal RNA
Rfam family: Bacterial small subunit ribosomal RNA
Source: RNAcentral
CCUACGGGAUGCAUCAGUGGGGAAUCUUGCGCAAUGGGCGAAAGCCUGACGCAGCGACGCCGCGUGAGGGAUGAAGGUCUUCGGAUCGUAAACCUCUGUCAGCAGGGAAGAACGGUCACUGUGCUAAUCAGCAGUUAAUUGACGGUACCUGCAAAGGAAGCACCGGCUAACUCCGUGCCAGUAGCCGCGGUAAUACGGAGGGUGCGAGCGUUAAUCGUAAUUACUGGGAGUAAAGCGCUCGUAGGCGGUAUGUCAAGUCAAUGGUGAAAUCCCAGCGCGCAACGUGGGAACUGCCUUUGAAACUGGCAAAAUGGAGUGUGUGAGAGGAUAGUGGAAUUCCAGGUGGAGGAGUGAAAUCCGUAGAUAUCGGGAGGAACAUCAGUGGCGAAGGCGACUAUCUGGCACAUAACUGACGCUGAGGAGCGAAAGCGUGGGUAGCAAACAGGAUGAGAUACCCGAGUAGUC